Molecule: ribosomal RNA, 442 nt
Filed under: uncultured bacterium
Lineage: Bacteria
Description: partial 16S ribosomal RNA
Rfam family: Bacterial small subunit ribosomal RNA
Source: RNAcentral
UGGGGAAUCUUCCGCAAUGGGCGAAAGCCUGACGGAGCAACGCCGCGUGAGUGAAGACGGCCUUCGGGUUGUAAAGCUCUGUUAUAUGGGACGAACGGGCGUAUGGUCAAUACCCAUACGCCGUGACGGUACCGUAAGAGAAAGCCACGGCUAACUACGUGCCAGCAGCCGCGGUAAUACGUAGGUGGCAAGCGUUGUCCGGAAUCAUUGGGCGUAAAGGGCGCGCAGGCGGUUCGGUAAGUCGGUCUUAAAGUGCGGGGCUUAACCCCGUGAUGGGAUUGAAACUGCCGGACUGGAGUGUCGGAGAGGAAAGCAGAAUUCCUAGUGUAGCGGUGAAAUGCGUAGAUAUUAGGAGGAAUACCAGUGGCGAAAGCGGCUUUCUGGACGACAACUGACGCUGAGGCGCGAAAGCCAGGGGGAGCAAACGGGAUUAGAUACCCCG